CCCUGCUCACAUGCAGAGUCUCUGUCUCAAAUAACAGAAGAUAUCAGGAUAAACAGGAAAUACAAAUCAUUCAUUCUGAAGACGAUCACUGCAGUGUCAGUAUCAACUCAUUCUAGACUCCCCUCCUGCAGAGUUUAAUUCCAAUUUAGCUAAUCAAGUAUUCAUGUAGAAUUGAAAAUUCCAUCAGGUGUUGAAGCUUAACUCAGGAUGGCAGGUGGUGGCUUCUGCGGCAGAACCUCCUGAGGUGGCUUCUGCUCAUGAACUCUCUGCUUGUCCUGUCAUGGCCAAGGAGGCCAUCCAUGAACUCAUAUCCCGCCUGAUUCACCGUGGUAAUUCCCUGAGCCAUCAUCUCCACUGAACUGGUCAUCUGCUCCACCGUGGAGAUCUUCGGCCCGGUACUGUGGGUGUCUUCAGUACCGCCGGCUAAGCCCUGGCUUCCUGCUCCACCAGUUGUGACCUGUUGGUCAUCAGUUCUGCUGGCUCCGCCCUGGCUUCCUGCUCCACCUUGGAUCUGACCUGGUGGUCUCCUGGUCCACUGCUGUAUGGUCUGCCUCUGCUUCUUGGCACAGGUCCUCCACUGUUCCAUGGUCUGCCAGUGAUCCCUGGUCCAGGCCCACCACUGCUUCAAGCCUGUCUCUACUCUAUGAUCCUGGUCUGGCUCCCUUCCACGGGCCUGGCCCCCCUCCUUCCCCCUGGAUCAUCACUGCUUUGCCACCCUCCUGGAAAUUU
Carassius carassius (crucian carp) is the source of this 729-nucleotide long non-coding RNA. RefSeq lists it as uncharacterized. The transcript has 4 exons. Lineage: Eukaryota; Metazoa; Chordata; Actinopteri; Cypriniformes; Cyprinidae. The record is from RefSeq and is a predicted model, not a curated record.